CCUACGGGAGUCAGCAGUGGGGAAUAUUGGGCAAUGGGCGCAAGCCUGACCCAGCCACGCCGCGUGAGGGAAGAAGUCUUUCGGGUUGUAAACUUCUUUUAAGAGGGAAGAGCAGAAGACGGUACCUCUUUCAUAAGCCACGGCUAACUACGUGCCAGCAGCCCCGGUAAUACGUAGGUGGCAAGCUUUGUCCGGAUUUACUGGGUGUAAAGGGCGUGUAGCCGGGCUGACAAGUCAGAUGUGAAAUUCCCGGGCUCAAACCCGGACCUGCAUUUGAAACUGUUGGGCUUGAGUAUCGGAGAGGCGGGCGGAAUUCCUAGUGUAGCGGUGAAAUGCGUAGAUAUUAGGAGGAACACCAGUGGCGAAGGCGGCCUGCUGGACGACAACUGACGGUGAGGCGCGAAAGCGUGGGGAGCAAACAGGAUUAGAUACCCGGGUAGUC
RNAcentral lists this ribosomal RNA (442 nucleotides) under uncultured bacterium. RNAcentral describes it as "partial 16S ribosomal RNA". It matches the Rfam family "Bacterial small subunit ribosomal RNA", at positions 338 to 795 of the family's 1533-position model. The record is from RNAcentral.